Molecule: signal recognition particle RNA, 267 nt
Filed under: Planctomycetota bacterium
Lineage: Bacteria; Pseudomonadati; Planctomycetota
Description: Planctomycetes bacterium (freshwater metagenome) signal recognition particle sRNA large type
Rfam family: Bacterial large signal recognition particle RNA
About the family: The signal recognition particle (SRP) is a universally conserved ribonucleoprotein involved in the co-translational targeting of proteins to membranes. Archaeal SRP consists of a 7S RNA and homologues of the eukaryotic SRP19 and SRP54 proteins. In most bacteria, the SRP consists of a 4.5S RNA and the Ffh protein (a homologue of the eukaryotic SRP54 protein).
Source: RNAcentral
CCGUGCUAGGCGGAGGGUUAGCGGUCCUCUAUACCUGCAACCCGCUAUAGCAGGGCGGAAUCCCCCUCGUGAGGCCGGACGGGUCCGCACGGGAGCGGCCCACCGGGCGUUGAGGGUCGGAUCCCAUGCGAUGGGCGGCCGGCGAACCGGGUCAGGGCCGGAAGGCAGCAGCCCUAAGCCGGAAGGCCCAUGCGCCGUGGGGCCAUCUGGCCGGAGCCGCGGAGGCCGUCACCCGACGGGUCCGCACGGCCGACCAGGGGUGCACGG